This 469-nucleotide ribosomal RNA is filed under the name uncultured Isoptericola sp. RNAcentral describes it as "bacterial SSU rRNA". It matches the Rfam family "Bacterial small subunit ribosomal RNA", at positions 913 to 1382 of the family's 1533-position model. Lineage: Bacteria; Bacillati; Actinomycetota; Actinomycetes; Micrococcales; Promicromonosporaceae. The record is from RNAcentral.
ACGGGGGCCCGCACAAGCGGCGGAGCAUGCGGAUUAAUUCGAUGCAACGCGAAGAACCUUACCAAGGCUUGACAUACACCGGUAACGCCCAGAGAUGGGUGCCCCUUUGUGGUCGGUGGACAGGUGGUGCAUGGGUUGUCGUCAGCUCGUGUCGUGAGAUGUUGGGUUAAGUCCCGCAACGAGCGCAACCCUCGUCCUAUGUUGCCAGCGGGUCAUGCCGGGGACUCAUGGGAGACUGCCGGGGUCAACUCGGAGGAAGGUGGGGAUGACGUCAAAUCAUCAUGCCCCUUAUGUUCUGGGCUACACACGUGCUACAAUGGCCGGUACAGACGGACGCAAAGCCGCGAGGUGGAGCAAAUCCUAAAAAGCCGGUCUCAGUUCGGAUUGCAGGCUGCAAUUCGCCUGCAUGAAGUCGGAAUCGCUAGUAAUCGCAGGUCAGCAUACUGCGGUGAAUACGUUCCCGGGCCUU